GGGGAAUAUUGGACAAUGGACGCAAGUCUGAACCAGCCAUGCCGCGUGGAGGAUGAAGGUCCUCUGGAUUGUAAACUUCUUUUAUCUGGGAAGAAACCCAUAUUUUCUAGUGUGGUUGACGGUACCAGAUGAAUAAGCACCGGCUAACUCCGUGCCAGCAGCCGCGGUAAUACGUAGGGAGCAAGCGUUGUUCGGAUUUACUGGGCGUAAAGGGCGCGUAGGCGGCGCGGUAAGUCACUUGUGAAAUCUCGGAGCUUAACUCAGAACGGCCAAGUGAUACUGCAGUGCUAGAGUGUAGAAGGGGCAAUCGGAAUUCUUGGUGUAGCGGUGAAAUGCGUAGAUAUCAGGAGGAACACCGGUGGCGAAGGCGGUUCUCUGGGCAUGACCUGACGCUGAGGAGCGAAAGUGUGGGGAGCGAA
Molecule: ribosomal RNA, 419 nt
Filed under: uncultured bacterium
Lineage: Bacteria
Description: bacterial SSU rRNA
Rfam family: Bacterial small subunit ribosomal RNA
Source: RNAcentral